This 676-nucleotide ribosomal RNA is filed under the name Bradyrhizobium sp. L1888. Its description in RNAcentral is "bacterial SSU rRNA". It matches the Rfam family "Bacterial small subunit ribosomal RNA", at positions 24 to 744 of the family's 1533-position model. The record is from RNAcentral. Lineage: Bacteria; Pseudomonadati; Pseudomonadota; Alphaproteobacteria; Hyphomicrobiales; Nitrobacteraceae.
UCAGAGCGAACGCUGGCGGCAGGCUUAACACAUGCAAGUCGAGCGGGCGUAGCAAUACGUCAGCGGCAGACGGGUGAGUAACGCGUGGGAACAUACCUUUUGGUUCGGAACAACACAGGGAAACUUGUGCUAAUACCGGAUAAGCCCUUACGGGGAAAGAUUUAUCGCCGAAAGAUUGGCCCGCGUCUGAUUAGCUAGUUGGUGAGGUAACGGCUCACCAAGGCGACGAUCAGUAGCUGGUCUGAGAGGAUGAUCAGCCACAUUGGGACUGAGACACGGCCCAAACUCCUACGGGAGGCAGCAGUGGGGAAUAUUGGACAAUGGGCGAAAGCCUGAUCCAGCCAUGCCGCGUGAGUGAUGAAGGCCCUAGGGUUGUAAAGCUCUUUUGUGCGGGAAGAUAAUGACGGUACCGCAAGAAUAAGCCCCGGCUAACUUCGUGCCAGCAGCCGCGGUAAUACGAAGGGGGCUAGCGUUGCUCGGAAUCACUGGGCGUAAAGGGUGCGUAGGCGGGUUUUUAAGUCAGAGGUGAAAUCCUGGAGCUCAACUCCAGAACUGCCUUUGAUACUGAGAAUCUUGAGUUCGGGAGAGGUGAGUGGAACUGCGAGUGUAGAGGUGAAAUUCGUAGAUAUUCGCAAGAACACCAGUGGCGAAGGCGGCUCACUGGCCCGAUACUGAC